Molecule: long non-coding RNA, 642 nt
Filed under: Homo sapiens (human)
Lineage: Eukaryota; Metazoa; Chordata; Mammalia; Primates; Hominidae
Description: non-protein coding lnc-TEX33-1:1
Source: RNAcentral
GUGUUCUCAGCACAUAGCAUUUGCAAUAAGUUGUCCCAUUUGCUCUUCUCAACAUGGCUGUGAGAUAGGUAUGUACCACUGAGCCCAUUUUACAGAUGAGAAAACUGAGGUUCAAAUGUUCCAUAGCGGUUUUGAAAUCCAGCCACACAAAUGUUGGACAUUCCUUGAUUAGGUUUCAAGGCCUGGGGAUAAUUCUCCAUGGCUCUCAGCUCUGCCUUCUGGACUCUUGCAUCCACUCUCUGACUUGUCUUUUUUAUUUUUAUUUUUUGUUCAAUGGUAUCUUUUCAUUUUGUACUGUCUCUAUCCCUUUUACCCGAAGUUGCCAACAUUUUGCUGAUGUUAUUUUCUCAACAGUAAAACUUACAGGGGUUCACUCCAUUGAACAAAAGUCACACCCCUUUUUAACUGAGGCUCCUGUUGAGGAGCCUUAAGCUUCCUAGAGGUCCUAUGGUUCUGUUAAGAGGAUAUAUCAGGCAUCUCUUUAAUCUCUUUAAAGCACCCUUUGUUUGACAGAGUAAUACCCUCAUACAACAGGUCGCACAGUCACACUCCUGGGCACACUUUCCAGACAGCCUUCUGAAGCUAUUUCUUAAUUUUAGCAUCUUUUGGGAUCUGGAAAGGAUGAGACUUCAGAACCAUUAA